UGGCGGACGGGUGAGUAACGCGUGGGUAACCUGCCCUGUACAGGGGGAGUAACAGCUGGAAACGGCUGCUAAUACCGCAUAAGCGCACGAGGAGACAUCUCCUUGUGUGAAAAACUCCGGUGGUACAGGAUGGGCCCGCGUCUGAUUAGCUGGUUGGCAGGGUAACGGCCUACCAAGGCAACGAUCAGUAGCCGGUCUGAGAGGAUGAACGGCCACAUUGGAACUGAGACACGGUCCAAACUCCUACGGGAGGCAGCAUG
RNAcentral lists this ribosomal RNA (260 nucleotides) under uncultured bacterium. Its description in RNAcentral is "partial 16S ribosomal RNA". It matches the Rfam family "Bacterial small subunit ribosomal RNA", at positions 96 to 353 of the family's 1533-position model. The record is from RNAcentral.